RNAcentral lists this transfer RNA (71 nucleotides) under Ictidomys tridecemlineatus (thirteen-lined ground squirrel). RNAcentral's name for it is "Spermophilus tridecemlineatus (thirteen-lined ground squirrel) tRNA". It matches the Rfam family "tRNA". From Rfam's summary of the family: Transfer RNA (tRNA) molecules are approximately 80 nucleotides in length. Their secondary structure includes four short double-helical elements and three loops (D, anti-codon, and T loops). The record is from Rfam by way of RNAcentral. Lineage: Eukaryota; Metazoa; Chordata; Mammalia; Rodentia; Sciuridae.
UGUAUGUAGCUCAGCGGUGGAGCGCUCACCUGGCACGUGGGGGGGCUUGGGUUCAAUCCUCAGCAUCACAU